AGAUUGAACGCUGGCGGAAUGCUUUACACAUGCAAGUCGAGCGGCAGCGCGGGGCAACCUGGCGGCGAGCGGCGAACGGGUGAGUAAUGCAUCGGAACAUGUCCAUGUCGUGGGGAUAGCCCGGCGAAAGCCGGAUUAAUACCGCAUACGCCCGAGAGGGGAAAGUGGGGGACCGCAAGGCCUCACGCGAUUGGGUUGCCGAUGUCCGAUUAGCUAGUUGGCGGGUAAAGCCCACCAAGGCGAUGAUCGGUAGCUGGUCUGAGAGGAU
This 268-nucleotide ribosomal RNA is filed under the name uncultured soil bacterium. RNAcentral describes it as "partial 16S ribosomal RNA". It matches the Rfam family "Bacterial small subunit ribosomal RNA", at positions 26 to 301 of the family's 1533-position model. The record is from RNAcentral.